RNAcentral lists this long non-coding RNA (227 nucleotides) under Vitis vinifera (wine grape). RNAcentral describes it as "long non-coding RNA (VVIN_LNC002116)". The record is from RNAcentral. Lineage: Eukaryota; Viridiplantae; Streptophyta; Magnoliopsida; Vitales; Vitaceae.
GCCCAUAAAAGAUCCUCAUUGCCAUCUCAAAGAGCAACCGGAUAAAAAAAAAAAGAAGAAAAAUAAUCAAGUCAUAUUGUCUUGUAAUAACCAUCAUCAUGUUACAUGAUACUUGACCCUUUUGUUUAAUCUCCACACUAUGGUUUAUUCACAAAAAAAUUUCAUUUUUCAAAGCAUUGUCUUGUUUCAUGGAAGUGAAAUAAAUAAAAGGUUAAAAGGAAAAAAAU